This 60-nucleotide transfer RNA is filed under the name Proasellus ebrensis. RNAcentral describes it as "transfert RNA-P(CCA)". The record is from RNAcentral. Lineage: Eukaryota; Metazoa; Arthropoda; Malacostraca; Isopoda; Asellidae.
CAGAAAAUAGUUUAUAGAAAAUAAUAGUUUUGGAGACUAUAGAAGUUGAGGCUUUCCUGA